GUCCCUUCGGGAACAUUCGAUAAAAUUGGAAUGAUACAAAGAAGAUUAGCAUGACCCUUGCACAAGGAUGAUACGCACAAAUCUAUAAAUGAUCAAUUUGUUU
Cicer arietinum (chickpea) is the source of this 103-nucleotide non-coding RNA. The record is from Rfam. Lineage: Eukaryota; Viridiplantae; Streptophyta; Magnoliopsida; Fabales; Fabaceae.